Molecule: long non-coding RNA, 4761 nt
Filed under: Triticum aestivum (bread wheat)
Lineage: Eukaryota; Viridiplantae; Streptophyta; Magnoliopsida; Poales; Poaceae
Description: long non-coding RNA (TAES_LNC003952)
Source: RNAcentral
UCCGUCUCCAUCGCGCUCACCGGCGCCAGGGCUGCCUCCAAGCUCGCCAAGCCGGACUCUUCGCAGCUCGGCUUCUUCCUUUGGUGAUAUAGAAGAUGAAAUUGUUUGUUCUUGUAUUCUGUUACAUGGUUUGGUUUUGUUAGCCAGAUUCAGUCUUUCUUUAUCUCAGCUGAGGUUGAUGUGGGUUUAUUGGCAGAUUAUUUACAAAAGAAAUUGUUUGAGGUCAAGAGUUGAUGCCAAAUGUCCUGGAUCAGGACAACUCCUGGGAAACAAGGCGAACGGUAUGUGCGUGCAAAAUUGAAAAUUGUACUAGAUAUGUGUAGUUUGCUCCAGGAUCCUAUAUCAGUGUAUUUGCUUCGUGCAGUUCCCUAUGUCAUCCAUUAUAUUUAUAUAGGGAUAAAUUUCCACGGGUUGUUGUAAGCAAAACUCCCUAUGUACCGGCACUUGUCUCUUUACAGACUGUCCGGGCUUUCUAGAUUAGAAUAUAAUUGUUUUAGAUAAUUCGAAAUAAGUUUUUACGCCAGCUUGCACCUUUAUUAUUUGCAGCCGGGAAGUCUAUUUCUUUUCUUUUUUUUGAUUCAAAACUAUUGGCAUGAAUUGGCCCUUGCAUUUGGUCUGAGCACUUACAAUAAUUCCAACCUGUCAAUUGGGGACAGAUAUGUCCAUCACACCUGUACCUUUUAUUCAGUUUGAGGAGGAAUAAGUAGUCAAUUGGCUGAUUAAUUAUGUUUCAUGUGAUUUGUAUAUGGACGCAGUUGCAACAGUUAGCUGCAUCAACUAUAAUUUUUCUUUCGCUGGCGGGGCAUGCAUCCCGACGAGUUAUACAAUUUAGCUGAUUUAAUUCGUGGCCUAACAAUACUUUUGGUAAUAGUUGUCAAGUAAAAAAGGAUCUGCUUUUUCGUAAUGAUGGCCAAAUAAAAGAGGAUCCAAACCCUCACGAGUUUACAUUGUACAAAGCUAUUAUGUGCUGACAAUAAUUUUUCUAAGUUGCUCUCUACAUCUCGGUGUUAUUAGUCUAAAUAUUCUGAUUCCAAAGGAUGUUUUCAAACAUCAGAUCUUUUAAUAAAUUUGAAACAACAUAUCUUUCUAAUUUUGGUUCUGUCUAAAAUGAUGAAAUUCAAUUUUGUUCUACUGCAUAUUAGCUUAAUCAUCUUCACCAGCAGUAUAUAUUGCAGAUAAUUGUGUUGGUUUGGUUUUUAGCAUGUAGGUAUGAUAUGGUAAGCCUCCAGUGAAGGAGGGGCUUAGAAAAAGAGAAACUGUUCUAUUUGAUAUACAAUGUAAUUUGGAAAUUAAUGGCAGAAGGCUCCUAAACUAACAUAUGAUGUUUUGUUUGAAUUUCUCUUUACCGGAUUGUGUUACUUCUGCGCAGUCACCAUACUUGACAAGGGUCCCUGAUUUUAUCACUUCCGUUGACGAGUCUUGUGUCAGCAUCUUGAUGCGAGGUACAACUUCUAGGUGAUCUUCUUCAUGUUUUACGUUGUUGUACUUUUUGCUGCAAUGUGGACGUACAUAUUCUAGCAGAUAUAUCUUCAUGCUUUACCUUGUUUACCACUGCCCUGAUGUGGAGGUACAGAUUCUAGCUGAUAUAUAUCGUCAUGUUUUACCUUUUACCAACAUCCAAGAUUUUUGUUUCCUCAUUUCUUUCAAUUAGAUAGAAGAUGGGACGUGCUUUGUUGUAGUUUCCUCUUACUUUGACUAAGUAGGACAUUUUUUUGAAAUACCAAAUUGUGGUGUCGCUACCCCUACGCACCACGGUUUUGCAGCACCCUCAGCUAAAGUAAACCAUUCCAAGCCUACCAUACUCGAAACAUGGAAGCAUGCAAACUUCAGAGCAUCUUGGUGUCGCUGGCCACCCGAUCUCUACAACCACCACAAAAUGCUACAGGACCAACCAGGCCGGUGUCCUGACCACUGAAUCAUGUCACUGUGUGGGCGCCUAGAUCUCCCAUGUGUCUGUCUAAAGCCUGAGGGGCCAACCUCGCUCGAGCGUCGCCAGCCAGCACUCAUCUGCACAUGAACAAAUGGUUGGAUAUAUGUGCCUCCUCCGUCUCUUAUUCCCCGAAACAUAAUUUGAUGAGUAGAGUUUCUAAUCAUUUAUGGCACACUGGCAUAUGAUUAAACUGCACAAGUUAGAUUGACAUUUUGUGGAGAACGGUCGUCGGUUGGGAGCCUCGCCGUCUACCUCCACCAGCCGGCCCACACACCAUUGCUCCCCGCGUGUCGCGCCCCUCCCCGAACCAUCAUGCCUUCUAAUUAGUGUACGUGGUAGUCUGGUAAAAGUGGAGAAUAAUUCGGGUAAUGUCUAUGGAUGUACUACCAGUAUUGCGGCUAACCUGCCUGGCAGUGAGAUGCAUCUAGAUUAGAUCUGAUUACUGAUAUAGAAGAUGCAAUUAAUUAUCUAAAAUUUUCCUUGUACCAUUUUCCAUGAGAUUAAUGUAAUUGGGAAUACCAGUGCUUGUUUGAAUCAUUUAGUUAAAUAAUUUUAUAGAUAAAACUUGUAUUUGUAUGUUUUGGAAUUACUAUUAUCCUGGUAAAAUGACCACAAGUGAAAGGGUUGUAAAGAUUAAUUAUUCUUUGUGGAAGCAUUACUGGUCUAAUUAAUAGAUGUACAUGCAUCAAUAAUGUUGUUGAGCUUUAGUUGAUUCUAUAGUGUUGUACUAUUCGCAAAGUUCUAUUUUGAGAAAAAAAUGGCAAAUUCAAUAUUGUGCCAGCUAAAUGGCGCACCCGCUGUAGCAAGUGAGUUCCCAUCAAAAUCACCCUGAGCAUAUUUUUGCUGAUUUUCAUGAUUGCUCUUCUGCCAGGAACAAUGUUCCUGGCACUUCGACCACACAACUGUAUGUUCAUGUUCCAGUGUCCUUAUUCAUAGUUAAUUUCAAUCACAAAGUGACAAAUGUCAGUCUAUUAGUUAACAUGUGUAUCUCCGUUUCUUCUAAGUUUCAAUCGACCUACUCUGAAGUUGUUCCUAAGAUAGUGCCUCAAGCAAAGGGAAUGAGCCUCAGUUAGUGCAUCUAGCAAGUUCGUGAUCCUUUGUUGGGAUAAACAUUUGUGCAAGAGCAAUAGUCUCGUCACUAUUGGUUGUUAGUACUGUUGCUUGUUAAUUCUACUUUUUACUUCAGUUCGUAAUGCAAUAUAGUUAUGCUUGACGCACUAUAAGAAGACUGCCAUUUUGCCUUUUGACCUUGGUUUCUUCCUCCAGUAAGUAAAUGCACAUAGUUCUUUUGUAAAUUAGAGCAUACGACUUGUUGAUCGAUCUCUGAGCUCAGUAAUAAUAUUAAGCCUCAAUCUGUUUAUUGUGCACACAAGAUGAGAAAGAAUUGCUACCCAAGAAUAUGUACUUUAUAAACAUUUCAACUGUAAUCUGGAAAAAAAUUAAAUAAAUAAGGAAACAGUAUAUUCAUAUAUCUUUUUUGUACUUUGAUGGUGUCACACCACAAGUUCCGAGAUGGUAAUUGUGCUGCAUAUGUCUGCUCUCUUACUUUGUUUUUCUGAACAGGUAGGUUCUGGAAGAUGUCAUGAAGAAUUUCUUUCAGAGAAUUUGCGUGAGGAGUGUCUAAAUGAUUUUUAUCUUCUGAACAUAUUCUUGUAUGACUAACUGAAUUCAUUUUUUCAAAACGUCGGUACUUUUCCUUUUUCAUUUAUGUUGCUCGAUUGAGUCCACAUGCCUGCCCUUACUGAGUUUGCUCAAGAGUAAGAUAAACUUGAUAUUUAUGUUUGUCGGCAGCAGCGUGACUAGCUGAUCUGUAGCGGCGCGGAAGGUGAGCUUGGCUGCAGGUAGCAGCUCCUUUGGCUGAUCUGCGGCGAUGCAGAAGUUGGGUUGGAAAGAAGCACGACCGGCUGCUCUGAAGUGGGACGUAGGGAGAGCUUCGUAAGAGAUAGGGAGGGAGCUCUAUUGGCCCGUGCAUGACAUCCAACCCAAUGGCAUCAUGCCCUGGUAAGCUUCUUAUCUGUUCCAAUUCUUGCACUUGGUCUUUUUCUUUCUAACCCUAAAAAUAGAGUGUGCCUUGAUUCCUAAUCAUGCUUUAAAAGCUGAUAUCCACCUCGUUUAUCUUGCUACUAGUGGUAAUGUGUGCAAGUAUGAUUUUGUGAUAAUGCCAGAUGUUGUGUGCCUUCUUUAUUCAUGGUACGAGUACUCUAACCUGGCUCGUAUGAUAAUGUAUCACUGCUAUAGAGCACAAACGACGUGUUUUUUAAUUAUAUUUUAGUUGACAUGGAUUUCAUUUAUCUUGUGAAUUGUAUAGUCAGAUCAUGAAUUUUUAUGAUUGAUUGAUUUUCAUGGUCACAGGUAGGCAUGGUUGUGUGGCCACGGGGAAAAUGGAGCAAGUAGCAUGUGAGGAGUUUAACAAAUGGGGACAAGGGACAGUUUAGUUAAUUAAGGCUCUAUGUUAGUUUCAAGUUUUAUCCUUGUUGCGGUAAAAAAUUAUGGUUGGAUUAACCACCAUGUACAUCUUUAAUUACUUUUAAAUAAGAAAUAUAAUCAAAAUAUUCUUUUGAAUUGAUAAAAUUUAUAUAAUUUGUACAAGUACAUGAAGGUGGAACAGGAGGAAGGGUGGGAGAAGAUUAGAUAUCGUUUCAUUUUCUUGCAAGGAAAGGAUGGUUACGAAGAAAUGACAAGAAAUGGAGGGACAAUCAGUUUUAUUACUGUAUGGAUGGAAACCACAUGCCAGCUUGUCCAACAUAUUUCUACAUUGAGUCAAUUAUUCAAUCGCUAUAUUUUUUUUAUUCCAUGGCAAUGCAUGGUCAUUCAACUAUUCAAAUUUACGG